Molecule: ribosomal RNA, 938 nt
Filed under: Bondarzewia retipora
Lineage: Eukaryota; Fungi; Basidiomycota; Agaricomycetes; Russulales; Bondarzewiaceae
Description: eukaryotic LSU rRNA
Rfam family: Eukaryotic large subunit ribosomal RNA
Source: RNAcentral
AUAUCAAUAAGCGGAGGAAAAGAAACUAACAAGGAUUCCCCUAGUAACUGCGAGUGAAGCGGGAAAAGCUCAAAUUUAAAAUCUGACGGUCUCCGGCCGUCCGAGUUGUAGUCUGGAGAAGCGUUUUCCGCGUCGGCCCGUGUACAAGUUUCCUGGAACGGAGCGUCAUAGAGGGUGAGAAUCCCGUCUCUGACACGGACCGCCGAUGCUUUGUGAUGCGCUCUCGAAGAGUCGAGUUGUUUGGGAAUGCAGCUCAAAAUGGGUGGUGAAUUCCAUCUAAAGCUAAAUAUUGGCGAGAGACCGAUAGCGAACAAGUACCGUGAGGGAAAGAUGAAAAGCACUUUGGAAAGAGAGUUAAACAGUACGUGAAAUUGUUGAAAGGGAAACGCUUGAAGUCAGUCGCGUCCGCCGGGACUCAGCCUUGCAAUCUUGCUUGGUGUACUUUCUGGUGGACGGGCCAGCAUCAAUUUUGGUCGCCGGACAAAGGCUGGAGAAAUGUGGCACCUUCGGGUGUGUUAUAGUCUCUGGUCGCAUACGGCGGUCGGGAUUGAGGAACUCAGCAUGCCUUUUAUGGUCGGGGUUCGCCCACGUUCAUGCUUAGGAUGCUGGCGUAAUGGCUUUAAACGACCCGUCUUGAAACACGGACCAAGGAGUCUAACAUGCCCGCGAGUGUUCGGGUGGAAAACCCGUGCGCGUAAUGAAAGUGAAAGUUGGGACCUCUGUCGUGGAGGGCACCGACGCCCGGACCAGAACUUCUGUGACGGAUCUGCGGUAGAGCGUGUAUGUUGGGACCCGAAAGAUGGUGAACUAUGCCUGAAUAGGGUGAAGCCAGAGGAAACUCUGGUGGAGGCUCGUAGCGAUUCUGACGUGCAAAUCGAUCGUCAAAUUUGGGUAUAGGGGCGAAAGACUAAUCGAACCAUCUAGUAGCUGGUUCCUGC